CGAAAGCCUGACGGAGCAACGCCGCGUGAGGGAGGAAGGCUCUUGGGUUGUAAACCUCUUUUCUCAAGGAAGAUAAUGACGGUACUUGAGGAAUCAGCAUCGGCUAACUCCGUGCCAGCAGCCGCGGUAAUACGGAGGAUGCAAGCGUUAUCCGGAAUAAUUGGGCGUAAAGCGUUCGUAGGUGGUGAUGUAAGUCUGCUGUUAAAGCGUGUAGCUUAACUACAUAUAGGCGGUGGAAACUACAUGACUAGAGUGCGUUCGGGGCAGAGGGAAUUCCUGGUGUAGCGGUGAAAUGCGUAGAUAUCAGGAAGAACACCGGUGGCGAAGGCGCUCUGCUAGGCCGUAACUGACACUGAGGGGCGAAAGCUAGGGGAGCG
RNAcentral lists this ribosomal RNA (377 nucleotides) under uncultured cyanobacterium. RNAcentral describes it as "bacterial SSU rRNA". It matches the Rfam family "Bacterial small subunit ribosomal RNA", at positions 376 to 770 of the family's 1533-position model. Lineage: Bacteria; Bacillati; Cyanobacteriota. The record is from RNAcentral.